This 740-nucleotide ribosomal RNA is filed under the name uncultured eukaryote. RNAcentral describes it as "SSU rRNA". It matches the Rfam family "Eukaryotic small subunit ribosomal RNA", at positions 659 to 1426 of the family's 1831-position model. The record is from RNAcentral.
CGGGGUGGCACUGAUCCAGCCCGGGCCUUUUCCCUCUGUGGGAAACCCCCAUGGGCCCUUCACUUGGCUGGUGGGCGGGGGAAAACAGGACUUUUACUUUGAAAAAUUAGAGUGCUCCAGGCAGGCUAUGCUCGAAUACAUAGCAUGGAAUAAUAGAAUAGGACGUGUGGUUCUAUUUUGUUGGUUUCUAGGACCGCCGUAAUGAUUUAUAGGGACAGUCGGGGGCAUCAGUAUUCAAUUGUCAGAGGUGAAAUUCUUGGAUCUAUUGAAGACUAACUACUGCGAAAGCAUUUGCCAAGGAUGUUUUCAUUGAUAAGGAACGAAAGUUAGGGGAUCGAAGACGAUCAGAUACCGUCGUAGUCUUAACUAUAAACUAUGCCGACUAGGGAUCGGACGAUGUUAUUCUUUGACGCGUUCGGCACCUUUCGAGAAAUCAAAGUGCUUGGGCUCCAGGGGGAGUAUGGUCGCAAGGCUGAAACUUAAAGAAAUUGACGGAAGGGCACCACCAGGGGUGGAACCUGCGGCUUAAUUUGACUCAACACGGGGAAACUCACCAGGUCCAGACACAGUGAGGAUUGACAGAUUGAGAGCUCUUUCUUGAUUCUGUGGGUGGUGGUGCAUGGCCGUUCUUAGUUGGUGGAGUGAUUUGUCUGCUUAAUUGCGAUAACGAACGAGACCUUAACCUGCUAAAUAGCCCGUACUGCUUUGGCAGUUCGCCGGCUUCUUAGAGGGACUAUCGG